ACUACUGAAUGAGAAAUCUGUUUUUAUUUUACUUCUUUCAUUUCUUUCCUUAUCUUCUUCUAACUCUAAGGGUUACUACCCUAUCACGCAACCGCUCCAUUCUCAACUCCUCCACCCACGAACUCUAGUGUGGGAGAGGAAGCUUGAGACUUGUCCCAUGCCGGAAAUGAUAUUUGGGGACAGUUGUCUGGUUCUGAAGCAUGUGAAAAAGUGGUUGCCACCGGUUGAAGUCCCAGCUGCUGCUCUCUGGAAGUUCAGAUGGUAACCUACUCAAUUUCAUGGGUUUAUUUUGUGAUUUUCGAUCGGAUGAGAUGGUGCUAACCCCUUUCGAUUUGGAGGCUUUAGGAUCAACUUCAGAGUAUUCUCCAAAAGAAUGUUGAUAUCUUUGAUUGAAAUUAGAAAUGAUUUAAACCCUCCAAAUCAAUGUUGAUAUACUUAAUUGAAAUUAGAAAUGAGAAUUUUACUGGCUCUAGUUGACAGGAUAGAGCUGUAUUUUGACUUAUAAAGCUCCCUCAAAUAAUUAUUUUAUUUAAACUCCGUAAGAGGUGUCCUUAAAUCGAUAUGAGAUGUAGAUUUUGGGUGGGAAAUUACGGCUAUUGUAUUUCUAUUUGAUAACUUGCUUGUGGGAUAGGAUUAGUUGUCUGUAUUGAUGCUGGCUUGCCUGAAGUAGUUGUGGGAUAUGUGUCAGUGUGUGUGUUUAAAUGGUUGAGAAUAGCUUGCCUGAAGUAGGAUCACACCAUAAUUGGUUGACAAGACUUCUCUUAUAAAUUUGAGCGAGUGAUUACUACUUUUUUAGAAAGGGAAUGUCUGUAGCAUACUAAAAUCCGAAGCAAAGAAGAAUAUGGUUGGGAUUCAAAGUCAGUUGUUAGAGGGGCAAGCGGAACCGUGGAAGGAUGUCUCAGCCAGUAUGGAUUCUUUUCCUAGUGUUAUCAGCUGAUUGUUAGUAACAGAGAAAAAGUGAGGUUUUGGAAGAAUAUUUGGAUUGGGGAUCAAUCCUUGAAGCUGCGCUUUGCAAGACUUUUGAGAUUAUCAGAUUUCAAAAUGCAAAACUAAAUAAGUUUACCACUGUGAUCUCUUAUCCUAUGAGUUGGGAUUUCGGUUUUUGAAGAAACCUAAGAAAUGAGGAGAUACAAGAGGUAAUUUUAGUGCUGGAACUCAUAGAUGGAGUUUGAUUGGUGGAAACCAAGUUACAUGUUAAAAGGUGGAAACUGGAGUCUUGAAGAGAAUUUUCAUGCAAAUAUUGUUAUCUCAUUGAUAGCAAUAUGCUGACCCUUUAUUUUCUCCUAUGAGAUCAGUCUGGAAGGCUAAGGUUUCCCCCAAUAUUUAGCUGGCUUCUGGUGCAUGAGAGGGUGAACUCAUGUGAUUGGUUGAAGACAGCCAAGUUGUUAUUUUUCUACCUAGUGGUGUGUCAUGUGUAAGCUUCAUGGAGAAAGUGCAAAGUUGUGGCAGAAUCGGCUUAGGGAGGCUGGGGCUGAGUUGGGCGACUCCAUCUGGGUGCCUUGCUUCGUUAAGUGAGAUUCACAAUGGUUUUGGCAAAGGGAGAAAAGCUAAAGAUCUUUGGGGUUGCAUGGUUUUGGCUGUAACUUAGGUGAUUUGGAUGGAAAGGAAUAAAAGGAUCUACGAUGACCAUAAUGGAAUGCGAGUUGAGGACCUUUGGGUGAAGGUUAGAUUCCCAUCAGCUUUAUGGGCUUCAGUUUCGGUUGGGUUUAAAGACUACUUUCUCCUCCAUUUUUCUAGAUUGGAUCACAGGAACAACAUAGUUGGAUUUAUUUUGGUUUUGUGUGGCAGCACAAAGAAGGUGAGAUAUCUAAGGAGAACUGCAAUCUCCACUGGGAGGACUGCAAAGAAAAAAUUGAUUUGGUUGCAUUAGCAUCUAAAGAGCCUAUUCUCUUUUAUGAUGAGGUAGUCUUGUAUGAAGAUGAAUUGGCGGAUAAUGGUGUGUCUCUUCUAACUGUAAAAGUGAGUCAUGCCGAGCGGUUGGUUUCUUCUCUUACGAUUUUGGCUUAGAGUUGAUGGAGUGCUUAUGAGAUGAAGGGAUACCCGUAUGCACUGUGCUUUUGGAGAUAAUGUAAAUCCCAUUAUUCUUCGAGAGAGCUGCUGGAGAGAAGCUAGGUUUCAAGCUUUGGCUGCAAAGGGAUACCCUUCUGACGCUGCUGCCUACAAUGAUCCAAGUAUCAUCAGCCAAAGGCUUCCUGUGGUCAUGAAUACGACCCAUAAGCUAAAGGUAUCUAGUAACAUGUAACACUGUAAAUUAUCUUAAUGCACGAGGAUAUAUUUUAAUGUUUUCUCAUUGUGGUGGAUCCUAUUGAAUGUAAAAGUUUCUUUGAACCUUCCUUUA
RNA transcript from Rosa chinensis, 2338 nucleotides. RefSeq lists it as uncharacterized. The transcript has 6 exons. The record is from RefSeq and is a predicted model, not a curated record. Lineage: Eukaryota; Viridiplantae; Streptophyta; Magnoliopsida; Rosales; Rosaceae.